Molecule: long non-coding RNA, 1455 nt
Filed under: Cyanistes caeruleus (blue tit)
Lineage: Eukaryota; Metazoa; Chordata; Aves; Passeriformes; Paridae
Description: lncRNA (ENSCCEG00000003292.1)
Source: RNAcentral
CGCAGCCGCUGUUGCCGUUUCCUCUCCAGGUUCUGCUCCUGCUGCCGCCGCCGCUCCGCCCUCACCUGCAGCCGCUGCUCGCGCCGGGCCCGCAGAGCCGCCAGCUCCGCCUCACCUUUGGGGGCUGCGGGGGACACACCUGUCACACAGCUGGACACACCUGGGCACACCUGGACACACCUGGGCACACCUGGGUACACCUGGGUACAGCUGGGAUACACCUGGAUACACCUGGGAUACACCUGGGCACACCUGUCAGACAGCUGGGAUACACCUGGGCACACCUGGACACACCUGUCACACAGCUGGACACACCUGGACACACCUGUCAGACAGCUGGACACACCUGGGCACAGCUGGGAUACACCUGGGAUACACCUGGAUACAGCUGGGUACACCUGGGUACACCUGUCAGACAGCUGGACACACCUGGGAUACACCUGGAUACACCUGGGCACACCUGGGCACACCUGGACACACCUGGGAUACACCUGGACACACCUGGGAUACACCUGGAUACACCUGGACACAGCUGGGAUACACCUGGGGACACCUGGAUACACCUGGGCACACCUGGACACACCUGUCAGACAGCUGGACACACCUGGGAUACACCUGGAUACACCUGGGGACACCUGGAUACACCUGGACAGGUGUGAUUCCCCCCACACUGUCACAGGUGUCCCCAGGUGUGUCCCCAGGUGUGCCCCAGGUGUGUCCCCAGGUGUCCCCAGGUGUCCCUCACCUGUCACUCACCCAGCCCGUGGUACAGGUGUGUCCCAGGUGUGUCCCCAGGUGUCCCCAGGUGUCCCUCACCUGUCACUCACCCAGCCCGUGGUACAGGUGUGUCCCCAGGUGUGUCCCCAGGUGUCCCUCACCUGUCACUCACCCAGCCCGUGGUACAGGUGUGUCCCCAGGUGUCCCCAGGUGUCCCUCACCUGUCACUCACCCAGCCCGUGGUACAGGUGUGUCCCCAGGUGUGUCCCCAGGUGUCCCCAGGUGUGUCCCUCACCUGUCACUCACCCAGCCCGUGGUACAGGACGUUGCCCUGGCCCAGCCCCUCCUCCACCUUCAGCAGCUGCAGCGUCAGCCGGGGCCCGAUCUGGGACAGGGGACACGGGGACACAGGUGAGGGACAGGGGACACAGGGGACACAGGGACACAGGUGAGGGACAGGGGACACAGGUGAGGGACAGGGGACACAGGUGAGGGACAGGGGACACGGGGACACAGGUGAGGGACAGGGGACACAGGUGAGGGACAGGGGACACAGGGACACAGGUGAGGGACAGGGGACACAGGGGACACAGGUGAGGGACAGGGGACACGGGGACACAGGUGAGGGACAGGGGACACAGGGGACACAGGGACACAGGUGAGGGACAGGGGACACAGGGACACAGGUGAGGGACAGGGGACACAGGUGAGGGACAGGGGACACUCAGGUGACACGGG